RNAcentral lists this ribosomal RNA (253 nucleotides) under uncultured bacterium. RNAcentral describes it as "partial 16S ribosomal RNA". It matches the Rfam family "Bacterial small subunit ribosomal RNA", at positions 524 to 776 of the family's 1533-position model. The record is from RNAcentral.
UACGUAGGUGGCAAGCGUUGUCCGGAUUUACUGGGCGUAAAGAGCGCGCAGGCGGUCGGAUAAGUCGAGUGUGAAAGCCCCUGGCUCAACCAGGGAGGGUCAUUCGAUACUGUUCGACUCGAAGGCAGGAGAGGGAAGUGGAAUUCCGGGUGUAGUGGUGAAAUGCGUAGAUAUCCGGAGGAACACCAGCGGCGAAGGCGGCAUCCUGGCCCUGACCUGACGCUGAGGCGCGAGAGCGUGGGGAGCAAACUGG